AACGAACGCUGGCGGCAUGCCUAACACAUGCAAGUCGAACGAGACCUCCGGGUCUAGUGGCGCACGGGUGCGGAACGCGUGGGAACCUGCCCGUAGGUUCGGAAUAACUCCCCGAAAGGGGUGCUAAUACCGGAUAAUGUCUUCGGACCAAAGAUUUAUCGCCUUUGGAUGGGCCCGCGUUGGAUUAGCUAGUUGGUAGGGUAAAAGCCUACCAAGGCGUCGUUCCAUAGCUGGUCUGAGAGGAUGGUCAGCCACACUGGGACUGAGACACGGCCCAGACUCCUAGGGGAGGCAGCAGUGGGGAAUAUUGGACAGUGGGCGAAAGCCUGAUCCAGCAAUGCCGCGUGAGUGAUGCAGGCCUUAGGGUUGUAAAGCUCUUUUACCCGGGAUGAUAAUGACGGUACCGGGAGAAUAAGCGCCGGCUAACUCCGUG
RNAcentral lists this ribosomal RNA (433 nucleotides) under uncultured bacterium. RNAcentral describes it as "partial 16S ribosomal RNA". It matches the Rfam family "Bacterial small subunit ribosomal RNA", at positions 29 to 507 of the family's 1533-position model. The record is from RNAcentral.